GCUGCGCGCGCAUGUUUCCUCUUUUCCUGGUUUCUCAGAGUGCUGCUGCUAACGCGGUUCCUGGCCCGCACUAUCUGUUGCCAUCCCGGCCGGCCGAGGCCGUUACAGGUUUUGGAAGAUGGCAAAGUUCAUGACACCGGUGAUCCAGGACAAUCCCUCAGGCUGGGGUCCCUGCGCGGUUCCUGAGCAGUUUCGGGAUAUGCCCUACCAACCAUUCAGCAAAGGAGAUCGGCUAGGAAAGGUUGCAGACUGGACAGGAGCCACGUACCAAGAUAAGAGGUACACAAAUAAGUACUCCUCUCAGUUUGGUGGUGGGAGUCAAUAUGCCUAUUUCCAUGAGGAGGAUGAAAGUAGCUUCCAGCUGGUGGAUACAGCGCGCACACAGAAGACAGCCUACCAGCGGAAUCGGAUGAGAUUUGCCCAGAGGAACCUCCGCAGAGACAAAGAUCGUCGGAACAUGUUGCAGUUCAACCUGCAGAUCCUGCCUAAGAGUGCCAAACAGAAAGAGAGAGAACGCAUUCGACUGCAGAAAAAGUUCCAGAAACAAUUUGGGGUUAGGCAGAAAUGGGAUCAGAAAUCACAGGUAAUGUAUUUAUACCAGAAUUCUGCCUUGGAAUUUGGUUCUGUUUAUUUGGUUGUCUUUAUUAAUAGCUUAGAUGAGAUAUACUUCACAUACC
RNAcentral lists this small RNA (677 nucleotides) under Pongo abelii (Sumatran orangutan). RNAcentral's name for it is "retained intron". Lineage: Eukaryota; Metazoa; Chordata; Mammalia; Primates; Hominidae. The record is from RNAcentral.